Molecule: long non-coding RNA, 1521 nt
Filed under: Cyanistes caeruleus (blue tit)
Lineage: Eukaryota; Metazoa; Chordata; Aves; Passeriformes; Paridae
Description: lncRNA (ENSCCEG00000007202.1)
Source: RNAcentral
GCUCCACCGAGCAGCGAAACGGGGCUGAAAUCGCCUGGCAGCCGCGGGGAAGGGGUAUUCGGGCUCCCGGGAAGCCGUGCUCCAGCCCCGGGAAAGCCGCGCUCCUGCCCCCGGGAAGGCGUGUUCCAGCCCCCGGGAAAGCGGCACCACCCUCGCCCGGAGCGCCGCCGCCGCCGCGGGAGGGGAGGCUCCGUAUCUCCGUAAAUCCAGCCUUCCACUCAACCUCCCCGUGAAAAGAAAUAAAUAAUCAACACAACCGCCUGAAUUAAAGCCGCCGCAGCCGAGCUGUGCUGCUCCAUCCCUCGCCCCACGCACAAAGGCGAGUCUCGCCCUGCCUCAGCUCCCCGCACCGCAGGAACUGCCGGGCUCUGCCGUCUUUCAUUCGCCCUGCGCAUCUCCCAGCUUAAAUGUAGAGCUUAUUUAAUUUAAAAACUUUAAAUUCGGGUCAGGUUUUCGCCCCCACUGACAUUAAGAGGGGCAGGGAUGCCCUGAGCAGCUUCUAAGCCCUUCACGGGUAAGCUACCGAGCCCUGGGGCCACGGCCAGCAAGGUCCACUCCGGACUUUAUCCGUGUGAUCCCUUCCAAUUCGGGAUAUUCUGUGAUUCCACUGUUUGGUUUGUCUCCCUCACACCGCCGCAUGAAAUAGAGUAGCUGUGUGUCACAAUCACAAGUAUUUCUCCUCGUUUAUUAGGAAUUUCCCCCAGCGCAGUCUCUCCAAAAACGCCCUCAUGCGGGUACACCGGAGCUCGCAUCACCCGGUGCCUGACAGGAACAGGCGCCCGUGUGUCCCCGCUGUUCCAGCUCCGGCACGGCCGAGGAAGAGAGCCANNNNNNNNNNNNNNNNNNNNUGGGCUCUGCCCUCACGGCCUCUUCCCGUUCAUGGGUUCCCGUCCCGGGCUGGGCUCUGCCCUCACGGCCCCUUCCCGCCCCUUCCCGCCCGCGCGUUCCCGCCCAGGCACCGCCCGCCCUCACGCCCUAAAAUGGCCGUCGGCCUCUGAGGGGUUCGGUCAGAAAUUAAGGGUUCCCGUCUCUCCAGGCUGGCUGACUCGCCUGUGGCAAGGCUCACAACCUGCAAGCCACUCACUUUGCCCAAAUCCCAUCAUUACUGGGGAUUUUCAGAGCAGAUUUACAAACCAUCGUUUCUGGUGUUUAUGGGGUAUUUCUAAACCAUCAUUUCUGGUGUUUAUGAGGUAUUUAUUAGCCACAAUGAAACGCUGGUUAGGAAUGAGUAGCUAAUUCUGCGCUAGCCAGUUUUUGCUCGGUUAUCCCAUUUUCAGAUAUUUCCCAAGCUUUCCAAUGGUUCUUUCUAAGAGGUGUUUUAUUUAAACCUCCAGAUCUAAAGCCUGGAGCUGGGAUUGAUUUCCUAUAAUAGGCUCUGACAAGGGAAGAACUCCGAGAGCUCUCGCACAGCAUGGUGUCAGGUGCUAAGUGGGAAGCAGACCCGUGACACUUCCAUGUGCCCACCACAGAUCAAAACCUUCCAAAAAUAAAUCUGUUGCUGCUCAUUGCUUAUUUUACCCC